UAAUCGUCGAUCACCACCACCGGAGAGCUUAUAUAGUCCUCUGUCAGAGCUUUGAUACAGGAGGAUCGCUGGUGACACUCAGCUUAGCUUCCGCAGCACGCCGAAGUUCUUGUUCCGAAUGGGAGGUUCCGUCGAUCGUGCACCGACGCCGCAACCAGAGGAUGGCGGCGAUCAUCGGCCCGCGCUUUGGGAAACCAUCAACACCAAGGGAGUUCACUAGGAAACGCAGAAGGACUAAUGUAAAUGUGGAUGAUCUUAUACAUGACAUUACUCCAAAGGGCAGGGGUGACUCUUUUUUUUUUUUUUUUUCCCUUGUUCAGUUUUAUUACUGUUGGUUUUCCUACGGUGCUUCAUUAUUUCCCUUGUUUACUGUUAGUUUUUCUGAGUGCUAUGUUUCAGAAGAGUGACUUGUGUUCUUCGUUUGCAAUUUCUUUUGUAAUUUGACGCAAGUUCACUGGGGGCUUAUAGAAUUCUGUCUGAGAUUGUGGUGUAUCAUUAGAAAAGUUGUUGGUUCUUUCAUCUGGAAAACUGAAAACUCUUUCUAGUUUUAUCCCUGAAAAUUUGGUUAGAGGAAAAAAUCUGGAAAAGAUUUCUGUUGAGAAGAAGCAAGUGCUACAUCUCAACACACUUCCAAGAUAAAGAAAAUUGCUGAAUCGUUAGUGGCGCAUUGUUUGGUUUGUGUGAAGUGCAUAAAGUUUGUUCUCAACUUCAUCGAGCCACGACGUAAUAGUUUCCAUCAUGAUUUGGUUCUGUGCAUCUUAUUUCUUGUCGCUGAGUACAUCCAGUUGAUGUCAUUGUGUUGCACUUAAGAGCAUUGAGACUUAAGUAUAUGUUCGUAUUCAUCUGUCAUGCGAGUUUGAAAGCUGUGCAUUCUUGUGUCUUUAUGCAGCUUCUGUUCCAUAUUUGGUCAAGGCUGAGCUGUUGCAGCACAUCAGAUCUUUUGUUGAAUCAACUUCUCGCCGAUUCAUCAGUCAGUCCUGUAGAUUGCUUCUGUGCCUUCAAGCAGCUUCUAUUCCUGAUUCAGUGAAGGCUGAGCCAUUGCCAUCUUCAGAUGCUUUCUCACCUUAACUUCUCUCUGGUUUCAGCACUUGGUAGUUUGUACUCAAUGAUGUAAAUAUGCAUGCACAUUGUUACCGCAUGCAGUAGUUCUCUUUCUUAGCAUUGCACCAAGUCUGACUCACCGAGCAAACCAUUCUAUGGUGGAGAGUUGGGAGCACAACAAUGUACUGCGCAGAUCCGACGCAGCAAUUUGUUGCUGCACUUGGAUUAGGACAUGUAAAUUGAAUAGGCACAUCAUCAGCAGAAUUGAGGCUCAA
Molecule: long non-coding RNA, 1316 nt
Organism: Eucalyptus grandis
Lineage: Eukaryota; Viridiplantae; Streptophyta; Magnoliopsida; Myrtales; Myrtaceae
Exons: 3
Source: RefSeq, a predicted model, not a curated record